AUGAAAAUAGUAGCUUGGAACUGCCGGGGAUUGGGGAAUGGCCCGGCAGUUCGCGGGCUUCUGGAUCUUCAGAAGUGGGAGGACACCGACAUCCUAUUCUUGUCAGAAACAAAGAUGGAUGGAAGGAGAAUGGAGAAAUUCAAGUGGAUGUUAGGAAUGAGUAAUAUGGUGGUAAGAGCUUGUGAAGGAAAAAGUGGAGGACUGGCUCUGUUUUGGAAG
Molecule: ribosomal RNA, 219 nt
Filed under: Triticum aestivum (bread wheat)
Lineage: Eukaryota; Viridiplantae; Streptophyta; Magnoliopsida; Poales; Poaceae
Description: partial small subunit ribosomal RNA
Source: RNAcentral